This 384-nucleotide ribosomal RNA is filed under the name uncultured Streptococcus sp. RNAcentral's name for it is "bacterial SSU rRNA". It matches the Rfam family "Bacterial small subunit ribosomal RNA", at positions 996 to 1382 of the family's 1533-position model. Lineage: Bacteria; Bacillati; Bacillota; Bacilli; Lactobacillales; Streptococcaceae. The record is from RNAcentral.
AUUUCUAGAGAUAGAAAGUUACUUCGAUACAUCGGUGACAGGUGGUGCAUGGUUGUCGUCAGCUCGUGUCGUGAGAUGUUGGGUUAAGUCCCGCAACGAGCGCAACCCCUAUUGUUAGUUGCCAUCAUUCAGUUGGGCACUCUAGCGAGACUGCCGGUAAUAAACCGGAGGAAGGUGGGGAUGACGUCAAAUCAUCAUGCCCCUUAUGACCUGGGCUACGCACGUGCUACAAUGGUUGGUACAACGAGUUGCGAGUCGGUGACGGCGAGCUAAUCUCUUAAAGCCAAUCUCAGUUCGGAUUGUAGGCUGCAACUCGCCUACAUGAAGUCGGAAUCGCUAGUAAUCGCGGAUCAGCACGCCGCGGUGAAUACGUUCCCGGGCCUU